AUACGGAGGAUGCAAGCGUUAUCCGGAUUUAUUGGGUUUAAAGGGUGCGUAGGCGGUUUGCUAAGCGGGAGGUGAAAUGCCGGCGCUCAACGUCGGAAGUGCCUCCCGAACUGGUGGACUUGAAUGACUCUGCCGUGGGAGGAAUGUGUAGUGUAGCGGUGAAAUGCUUAGAGAUUACACAGAACACCGAUUGCGAAGGCAUCUCACGAAGGGUUGAUUGACGCUGAGGCACGAAAGCGUGGGGAUCAAACAGGAUUAGAUACCCUGGUAGUCCACGCAGUAAACGAUGAAGGCUAACCGCUGGGCUUAUCAGUUCAGUGGCCAAGCGAAAGCGAUAAGCCAUCCACCUGGGGAGUACGACCGCAAGGUUGAAACUCAAAUGAAUUGACGGGG
RNAcentral lists this ribosomal RNA (393 nucleotides) under uncultured bacterium. RNAcentral's name for it is "partial 16S ribosomal RNA". It matches the Rfam family "Bacterial small subunit ribosomal RNA", at positions 523 to 918 of the family's 1533-position model. The record is from RNAcentral.